CAUUUUCCUAUUGGGAUCAACAACAGCUUCUGGGGGAGCAGUCACACGGUGCCGGUGUGCAGAUCUGGAGCUCGAAGGCUUUGCCUUAGUUGGGCUUGGGGACGAUGGAGGUGGCGCUGGCGGGGCCGGCGGCUGUGUGCAGAACGGGGGAAACAAUGCAGGUGGGAAUGGGAUCAUCAGGGUUCCAACGUAGCUCAGUCCGCCACGAGGACUCCGGCGACCGGCGAUGAUCCUAGAUGCUGCGAGAGGGCGAGGGCAAAGAAACAACGUGAGAGAGGGGAAACAAAUCAGGCGCGCGUGGGAGGGGAAAAAAAAGGGGAGGGCGGGCGCGGGAAGGAGGACGAUGGACGAGGGGCGAGGGCGAUUUUGGGAACUGAUGGGAGAUGUCGCGAGCGCAGGAACGAGGUCGAGGAACUCGCUCCAUAG
RNAcentral lists this long non-coding RNA (426 nucleotides) under Oryza sativa Indica Group (long-grained rice). Its description in RNAcentral is "lncRNA OsZS97_06G011240". The record is from RNAcentral. Lineage: Eukaryota; Viridiplantae; Streptophyta; Magnoliopsida; Poales; Poaceae.